This 624-nucleotide long non-coding RNA is filed under the name Marmota monax (woodchuck). Lineage: Eukaryota; Metazoa; Chordata; Mammalia; Rodentia; Sciuridae. The record is from RNAcentral.
GGUUAGGUUAGAUUUAGGUCUAGUGUUAGGGUUAGAGUUUGUCUUGUUCAUAUUUCUUUGAUACUGGGCAGGAUACAUUUUUACCCAGCCUUACUAUGUUCCCCAGGUUUCGGCCUUCUCGGUUCAAUUCUUUGCUGACAGGAACAAUUUGUAUUUUAUGGAUUCACUUCAUUUUGACCUACAUGGGUAAAUGGACAUGGAGCUGGAAAUCAAACAAGGUUGGUGCUAAGUGCUUGAAACUUCACACACUCAAUCAGUUCUCUAUGGGCACUCUCUGGUUUGUUCCUUGUGAAAUUAGUAAUAAGCUGAAGCAUGCAAUACAAAUUUAUCUGAGAACACUUUAGGAGAAAACAGGGAAAUAUGCAUGUACUGAAAUAGCUUCCCCAAUUAUUUUGUCAGAUUUCUUUGAAACUGCCCAUGAUUCAUCUGUAAGCUUACCCCACUGGACUCCCCAAUUUCAAAACUUCUAUGAUCAAAGGUUCUCUAAACAGAUUAGGUUUAGGGUUAGACUUAGUGUUAGGACUAGGUUUAGACCUGGUGUUAGGGUUAGAGUUAUUUUACAAAAAAUUUCUAUGAUACUGGGCAGGAUUCAACUUUUUCCUAUUUUUCCUAUACCCCAAAUGU